RNAcentral lists this ribosomal RNA (451 nucleotides) under uncultured bacterium. RNAcentral describes it as "partial 16S ribosomal RNA". It matches the Rfam family "Bacterial small subunit ribosomal RNA", at positions 28 to 507 of the family's 1533-position model. The record is from RNAcentral.
AGCGAACGCUGGCGGCAUGCCUAACACAUGCAAGUCGCACGGGGGGGCUUCGGCCUCCCAGUGGCGGACGGGUGAGGAACGCGUAGGGACCUGUCGAGGGGUGGGGGAUAACCGCGGGAAACUGCGGCUAAUACCGCAUGACGCCGCGGCGUGACAGCCGGGGCCAAAGGCGAAAGCCGCCCGCCGAGGGGCCUGCGUCCGAUUAGCUGGUUGGCGGGGUAGCGGCCCACCAAGGCGUCGAUCGGUGGCUUGUCUGAGGGGGUGAUCAGCCACACCGGGACUGGGGCCAGGCCCGGACUCCUACGGGAGGCAGCAGUGGGGAAUAUUGGACAAUGGGCGCAAGCCUGAUCCAGCAAUGCCGCGUGGGUGAAGAAGGUCUUCGGAUUGUAAAGCCCUUUCGGCGGGGACGAUGGUGACGGUACCCGCAGAAGAAGCCCCGGCUAACUUCGUG